Molecule: long non-coding RNA, 316 nt
Organism: Sinocyclocheilus grahami
Lineage: Eukaryota; Metazoa; Chordata; Actinopteri; Cypriniformes; Cyprinidae
Exons: 2
Source: RefSeq, a predicted model, not a curated record
GCCAUCUCAAAGGUCCCUGAAUGUCAUUGCUAGGAUUCCAGAGAUGACACUGUCAAGAAUGGAUAUUCCUCUUCCCAUCGCUGUUCCUAUCAAUCCAGACGGAACCCUUUCCAUUCAAAUCGAUGAGGACAUUCUCUCUUGGAUCCAAAAACAUAUCAAGGAAGAAUAAGACAUUACAUUUGACAUUUUCAGAAGAGAAUGGGAGCUGUGUUCAUGGAGAACUCCUUGACAGUUUAAUUGAACACAUUAUCAUUGUUGUCAUGUACAGUAUGUAAUGUAAUGCAGUCUAAUGCUAAUAAAUAUACUGCAAGUGAAA